AAAACUGCUUUUCUCAAAGCAACUACUUUAUACAUACAAACAUUU
This is a non-coding RNA of Cuculus canorus (common cuckoo), 45 nucleotides long. Lineage: Eukaryota; Metazoa; Chordata; Aves; Cuculiformes; Cuculidae. The record is from Rfam.